CACAUGAUACUUAUUAGAGAGACAAGUAGGAGGGGAAGAGAGGGAAAGAGAGAGGCGGAAGUUCCACGGCCCAUCAAAGCGGCACUGGCCUUCCGUUACCCUUCCCCGUGCUUUCUCUCUCUUCUCCCAUCACCGGAGAAGGACGCGAGUGAUUGAGAAGAAUUCCAGAGAGAAAAGGAGAUAGAUGUGGGUAUUUUUUUCCUCCAAUAUCGCUUCCGCUGGUUCUGGGCAUGGCGGUGGCAAUCCUGCGGUUCUUCGCGGGGCCGGACAUCCUCUUCGGCGUCAGAUGCGCCUGGUUCUGCUCCCUCUCCAUCAUCAUCCUCGUCCCCGCCGACAUCUGGACCAUCGGGAUGUCGAUGUUUUAUUCAUUAACUCCAAGAACAAGAAGCUCAGUUAGCUUGCUUAUGAUAUGCUGCUAAGUUUCUAUGCAAGUUCUAUUCCUGUUUAACUAUGUGAAAUGAUUUUAGACUAAUUAUUGCAUGUUGAUCUUAUAGUUCUGCGAGAACGGUUGCACGCUAUGCACCACCUUUUCUUAUAGUUUUCUUAACCUCAUUCAUCUUGAAGGUAAUGCCAAAACAAUUUGUGCAAAGGUAACUGUUCAUCGUACUAUUUUCCUUUUUUUCUUUUCUUUUUUCCCACUUGUCUUUUUGUUUCAAUUUAAUGAUGUUCAUGAGAAGCGAGCCUGAAAUAUUAAGAGAUUAAAAGCAUUUGUUUCCAAUCAGCAAAGGACAACAAAAAUGUGGUACCUAAUUUGAGGCAAGAUAUUCGGUGCAUUGGCUCAAGAUGAACUUUAAAGCAAUCUUUAAAGAUCCCAAGACUUCAUCCAAUUUGAUUGAACAAUUCAUGCCUAAUGGGGGAAGAUUGUUAACUACCAUAUACGUUUCUUAUAUUUUUUUUUUGUAUAAGGUUCUAGAUUGUGAAUCGCCAUUUGGUGAAGACAAUAAAGGAAUUCGAAUUAUAUAGAUAUAAUGUUAUUUGUUCCAUAUAUAUAUAUGGAAUGCCAUAUUAUAAUGACGAGGUAUAUCAACUAUUUUUCGAAACUGUUUUGCAAAAAAAUAGGUUAUAUUGAUGAUGCCAUCUCUUUUUUUUGUUAAAGUUUUAACAAACUACCCCAUUAUUGUGGUUAUCUACACUUUGUUUUCUGCAAGAAAUUUCUUUUGGCAAGUAACAGUUUUUUAUUUUUUCUGAAAGCUGAAAAAAGUUCUAGUUCGAAAUAGGAGGAACAUAUGCACAACAAUCCAGAUCUCAUACAAAAAGGCCAGCCAAAAGGUAUUAUUUGUUUUUCUUAGCCUUGUAUAAGUUUCUAAAAUUUUUCCAGCAUAUAACUAAUAUGGAACUAAAUAUAUACCCGCUCGAAUUUUCACAUACUCCUCCUAUUUAAGCCUUGAUGUCGUUGCUAUGUUAAAGUUCUAAAUCCAAUCAACUCCAAUCGUGAACACCACAAUUAGCCUGUGUUGAGCCCUAUAUAGGCCCAUACUGCAGUAUUUUCAAAUCGACAUGGGCCACCAGCUGAGUCCACUUUGUUAUCAUUUAUAAUAAUCUAAGAUCUUAUCCAAAAAGGCAAGCUGGAAGAUAUUAUUAGCAUUUUUUGGCCUUGUAUAAAUAUGCAAGGUUUUCUUAGCACAUAAUUGAUACGGAGCCAGACAAACACCUACACGGAUUCUCACAAUAUGAAUGGAUUUGAUCCAUUGGGAACAAUUAUCGUGCAGAAAUGUGAGUGUGAUUUUUUUCCGUCUUUUGUGAUUCUUUAAUUCUGUCCCUCUUUAUGCCUUCUUGCAUCGACAGACAUAUCCAUAUGCAAAAAUUUUAGCUGUGGAGCCUCUUGAUUGAACCUGUCAAGAGCAUGCCUUUGCAUAAUUCUAGCCUCAGUCUGGGUUCAGGCCUUAUUUCUAGCUGAUGUAAAGCCUUGGAGCUCACUCAUAUGUGGUGGUCUUAUUGGUCCUUGCUACACCUUUAUGUUUUUUUAUAAACUUUGCUCAUUAAACUGGUAUUAACUAUUUUUAGACCAUUUCACAUAUGGAUUAUCUUCAUUAAACAGAUUGUAAUUAUCAUUGACACUAUGCUUGGUCACCUCUCUAAUGGCAAGUAUUGCAAUUUGUUAAUUAAGCAGCCGACAGGUUUAAGUUUUACUUGGUUUUAUUGUCAAAACCUUCGCUGACCUGGUCCUUAGAAGACCUCCGUAGUGUUAUGAGCACUAGGGAGAUUGUCAGGUUCCAUUUUCUCUCAUGCAGUUUCUUAUGUGAUUAUGGCCCUCUCUGUUUACAGAGUGGCCUUGGCUUCAACGAGGGUGUAAAGUUGGCGAGCAAGUCGUAGCAUUGGCAAGAAUUAUCAAUGAUACAGAUAUGGAUCUUGAAUCUGGUGUCUCACUAGUAUGUUACCUUCCAAGUUGUAUUAUGUUAGUUGCCAGAAGCACCAUCCAUUUUCGUAAUGAUAGGAAAAGAGAAGGAAAUGUUUGGUUGAGGGGGUGGGGGGGAAUAAUUUUACUGCUCAUCUUACAGUUUGCAUGUGUUCUAGAAUUCUACAUUUAUGUUUGUCCAGACUUUAGAAGUAGCACUUCCAUGUCAGAUUUCUUCGUAAGUAAUGAUCUUUUUUUCUUGCUGGGCAAGAAAAAUUACAGCGACCAUCCUAGUAAAAUUUUCUGCUUGAGAAAUCAGAGAAGCUGCAUCUAUUGAACAGCUCACAUGGCUUCUGCCCAAUUCGAGGAUUGUAUUUUGCCUUUAUGCAUUGUAUAUGUUUUAUUACUUCAACCUCAUUCAUUUCAUUUCUGGCCAUUAAGCUCGGAUAUUUGGCAUUCAGAGUAAGGGCAUGUGAAGAUGAAAAGAAGUCCAUCAAAAGCUCUGAAAGAGGAGAAACAGAAAUAUGGUAGCAGCAGAGAAGCCAUUGCCAACAAGUAUGCAACUAACAAGGAACAACAAGGCAGGAGGUAUCUCAGAGGAUCAUUCAAUUGGCAGCAUGGCUGCCUUCUCCUCAGGGAUGGCCUUGACAUGGGCAUCAAUGAAGACUGGAUUUCAAAAUUUUAGGGCCAACAUAUGGGCAAGGAAAUUUCUUCUGCUGGGUAAGGUUCAGGAAACUACACAUUAUACUCGAGUUUCCUCCUUUUGAGUCACUUGAUAAAGUUUUUCAGACUCUGAAGCAGCAUCCAACUAGGGACCAUAACAAUGAAUAUGGUUAUGGUUGUGGUGAUGAUGAUAUGAAUCAUGUCGUGAAUUUCAUAAGCGCAUUCAGAUAUAUAGUAUGGGCCGGGCACGCUCAUAAUAGGAAGCCAAAUUCAAAUCUGGUUUUACCAUAUCGGUAUUUUGUUUCAUGAAAACAUAAUGGAAGUUGUGCAGAACUACAGACUAUUCAAAAAAGCUAACAACUCGUCACUUUUUCCCUCCAAGGAAUUUGGGUUAGCAUAGGAGAUUGAUGAUACCAAUACCCAUAUUGCUGUAUUUGUUAUAGGGGCUGAGUACAUAACUCAGACAGCAGUGAAUAUACCUUUGUUCAUUUGGUUUCAUCUCCUUUAUAUGGAAUCAGAGAAUUAAUGAAGUGCUGCUUGGUUUGACAAAAGAAUAAAUAAAACUUUUCUUCUUGAAA
This is a non-coding RNA of Phoenix dactylifera (date palm), 3576 nucleotides long. The record is from RefSeq and is a predicted model, not a curated record. NCBI's taxonomy places the organism in Eukaryota, Viridiplantae, Streptophyta, Magnoliopsida, Arecales, Arecaceae.